GACGAACGCUGGCGGCGUGCUUAACACAUGCAAGUCGAACGGAGCUUCCCGGAUUGAGACUUCGGUCAAAUGAACGGAAGCUUAGUGGCGGACUGGUGAGUAACGCGUGAAGAACCUGCCUUUCAGAGGGGGACAACAGUUGGAAACGACUGCUAAUACCGCAUAACGUAUUUUGGGGGCAUCCCUGAAAUACCAAAGAUUUUAUCGCUGAAAGAUGGCUUCGCGUCUGAUUAGCUAGUUGGUGAGGUAACGGCUCACCAAGUCGACGAUGGAUAGGGGUUCUGAGAGGAAGGUCCCCCACAUUGGUACUGAGACACGGACCAAACUCCUACGGGAGGCAGCAGUGAGGAAUAUUGGUCAAUGGGCGAGAGCCUGAACCAGCCAAGUCGCGUGAAGGAUGAAGGAUCUAUGGUUUGUAAACUUCUUUUAUACGGGAAUAAAGUGUGGUACGUGUACCAUUUUGAUGUACCGUAUGAAUAAGCAUCGGCUAACUCCGUGCCAGCAGCC
This 507-nucleotide ribosomal RNA is filed under the name uncultured bacterium. RNAcentral's name for it is "bacterial SSU rRNA". It matches the Rfam family "Bacterial small subunit ribosomal RNA", at positions 28 to 516 of the family's 1533-position model. The record is from RNAcentral.